Molecule: long non-coding RNA, 1853 nt
Filed under: Equus caballus (horse)
Lineage: Eukaryota; Metazoa; Chordata; Mammalia; Perissodactyla; Equidae
Description: lncRNA (ENSECAG00000048174.1)
Source: RNAcentral
UGGAUGUCCCAGUAAGGGGCCAUAAUGCUGCAGCUGUCCACUUUUGGGUGGUACCUGCAUAUUGUACAAAACCAUCUGUAAAACAGGCCCAGGUCUUCUCUUCCUCUGUCAGCUGACCAUAGAGCACUCCCCAUGAGGUGCAGGCUGGGAGAGAGAAGGCAGUGUAGCAGGAGUGGGCACCAUGGAAUUUUAGCCACUUCUUCAUGUAACUUACUUAUGCUUUCAGGGCCUACUCAGGCCCAGUCACAUAUAUACCACUUCCACUUGAUGAUGGAGUGUUUCUGUGCACACUUAACUUUAUGGCUUAGUCAGCCAGAUAACACCUGGUUUAUGAUGGGCAGCUCAGGUCACAUGGUAACUUGGUGGCCUAUGGUUAAGCAUUCAGUCUCUACAAAGGCCCGAUAGCAGGGCACGAGCUCAUUCUCAAAAGGGGAGUAGUUAUCUGCAGAGGAUGGCAGGGCUUUGCUCCAAACCCAAAGGGCCUGCACUGCGAUUCAGCUAUAGGAGCCUGCCUAAGACUCCAAACAGCAUCCCUAUCUGCCACUGAUACUUCCAGAAUCAUCGCAUCUGCUGGAUCACAUGGCCCAAGUGGCAGCACCAUUUGCACAACAGCCUGGACUGUUGCAGAGGCUUCUCUUGUUCUGGGCCCCACCCAAAACUAGCAGCUUUUGAGUCACUCAGCAAACGGGCCUGAGUAACUCACCCCAGGAGGAAUAUGUUGCCUCUAAAAUCCAAAAAGGCCCACUACAUAUUGUAUUUCUUUUUUGGUUGUAGGAGUGUCUAGAGGCAACAACUUAUUCCUCACCUUAGAAGGGGUAUCUCGAUGUGCUCCUCAUCUCUGGACCCCUAGAAAUUUCACUGAGGUAGAAGGCUCUUGAUUUUGGUUGGAUUUAUUUCCCACACUUUGAUAUGCAAAUGUAUUACCAAUAAGUCUAGAGCAAUUGUUACGUCUUGUUCACUAGGUCCAAUAAGCAUAAUGUCAUCAGUGUCAUGGACCAUUGUGAUAUUUUGUGGAUGGGAAAGAUGAUCAAGAUCAUAGUAGAUUAUGACAUAGGGCUUGAGAGUUGAUAAACCCCCAAGGUAGGACAGUGAAGGUGUAUUGCUGGCCUUGCCAGCUGAAAGCAAACUGCUUCUGAUGGGUGUUAUGGACAAGGAUGGGGAAAAAGGCAUUUACCAGAUCAAUAGCUGCUUACCAGGUACCAGGGGAUGUUUUAAUUUGCUUAAACAAUGAAGUCACAUCUGUUAUAGCAGCUGCAGUUGGAGCUACCAUCUGGUUAAACUUGGAAUAAUCCACUGUCAUUCUCCAGGAUCCAUCCGUCUUCUGCACAGGCUGAACAGGUCACAUCAUGGACUAUUAGUGCUCUCUUUACUACUGGGAGUGCAGUCACGUAGCCACAAGGAAUUAAUUCUCUAACAGCCAGUGAGCUUGGAAGAGGAUUGCAACCCUCAGAUGAGCAUCACAGCCCUACUGACACCUUGAAACCCUUCCAGCCUUGUAAAAUUCUGACCCCCUAAGACUGUGAGAUAGUAAAUUUGUGUUGUUUUACAAGCCAGCCCUGAUUGCCUAGUGCUUAAAUUUUGGUGUGCUCCAUUUCGGCGGCCCAGGUUCACUUCCUGGGCACAGAAGCACACCACCAGUCCGUCAGUAGCCAUGCUGUGGUGGCAGCUCACAUAGAAGAACUAGAAGGACUUAGAACUAGAAUAUACAACUAGGUACUUGGGGAGGGAAAAAAAAAAAAGAGAGGGAGACUGGCAACAGAUGUGAGCUCAGGGCUAAUCUUUUCCAGCAAGAAAAAAAAAUUGUGUUGUUUUAAGCCACUAAGUUAGUGGUAAUUUAAUCUAUUGCACAGAAG